RNAcentral lists this transfer RNA (86 nucleotides) under Felis catus (domestic cat). It matches the Rfam family "tRNA". Rfam says of the family: Transfer RNA (tRNA) molecules are approximately 80 nucleotides in length. Their secondary structure includes four short double-helical elements and three loops (D, anti-codon, and T loops). The record is from Rfam by way of RNAcentral. Lineage: Eukaryota; Metazoa; Chordata; Mammalia; Carnivora; Felidae.
GCCUGGGUGGCUCAGUCGGUUAAGCGUCUGACUUCAGCUUAGGCCGUGAUCUCGCAGUUUUGUGAGUUCGAGUCCCACAUCAGGCU